This is a long non-coding RNA of Pygoscelis adeliae (Adelie penguin), 1881 nucleotides long. RefSeq lists it as uncharacterized. Lineage: Eukaryota; Metazoa; Chordata; Aves; Sphenisciformes; Spheniscidae. The transcript is spliced from 3 exons. The record is from RefSeq and is a predicted model, not a curated record.
GGGCUUUGGACGAGGUGGAGGCAGGAGGAAUUGCACCUCAGCGUGGGAAUGUGCCGCCCUUGAAGCAGAGGGUACUCCAGACUCAGGAGAUGGAGAAUAUUAACAUGAAUCCACAGGAACGAGGAGGGGAGUGUUUUUGCAUGGUGGCGGUGUUUGCAUAAGCUUUUACUGUCAUAAAUAAGUAGAUCAUGGUUGAGGGGACAGAUUCAAUAUGGAAAAUAGGGAAUUCAUUUUCAGGCUUCCAAGACAGUACUAUAGACAGGGCUGAGAAAGAGGAGAAGUGUUAAAAGAUAGGGAAAUGUGCCUUGAAAGUGACUUUUCAAAGAUCAGCGAUAAUAUUCUUGGUGUCUGAGGCACCCGCGUUUAAUGAGGUAUAAAGCAGAAGGGGUUGGGAGGAUUUGGUCCAAGUGAAAACAGAAUGAGCGUGGGACUGGCAGAUGGGAGGAAUGUUAGCCCACUCCUUGGUGAAGUUAUUGCUUCUUUCUCCUGUUGUUGCCUACAGAGGGACUUGACAGAAGAUACUUAGCGGGGAGGGGAGUACAGCCUUCCUGUUCUACUUUAAUGUUGCUGGCUGUAUUUUUCUCCAUGGGGAAACAAAGGGCCAGCGGUCCUGAGUUUGUAUCCAAUGUAAAUCUAGAGCAAGUCUAUCAACUUCAAUAACACCUGCAAUAAGCCAUGACUGGCCCUUUCUGAACAGAGAAGAGAAAUGAACAGCUGUAACUUCUAGAUGCUGAAUUUUUUAGUGUACUUUUUUUUUUUUUGAGAUUUAUGACUCUUUUAUUCUCCAUUUGAGAAUGUAGUGGAGCAAUUGCUGAUCCAUGCAUGCAUGUAUAUGUGAGAAAAUGUCAGCGGAGGAGUAAUACGUAUGGAAGUCUUGCACAGAGAUAUGGCAAACUGGCCACCUGUUCUCAGAUGAUGAAAUAAUUAUACAAAAAUAUCUCUCCUGAAAUAAUGAUUGAGGGAAGAUGUGGUAGCAGGGUUGGGGGAGGUUAAUGAUAUUUUUAAGUAGUUUGCUGUACUUAUUACUGACUCUCCUGCUAAUUUUACUGCUUCAGAUGCUAGUUCUUCAGUAGGUGGUGGUUAGGGCUGCAGAGAUGUAUAGGUUUCAUCAGAGGGACGAGUCCAAUGGCUGGAGCUAGCUGAAGAGAUGGGAAACCUACCCCCGGGUACCUUCUCUGUCACAGACAGCACAGAGGCGGGUCUGCUUCUGGAAAGAACGUUGUAGCAAAUACGUAACUUUAUGCAGUGUGGUAAAAAUGGUUAAUUCUUUCUUCAUCCCUCUCAACCCUUCACUAUCUAAGCCUUCUUUGUUGCUGCAAAUUCCACAUAGUUUCAUACAAAGCCUCUCUUUUGAACGUACUACAGUUCUCAUUCCCAUAUUAACUUGCUAAACCUACCUGAAACGGGCACUUCAUUUCAUGGAGCAGAAUAUCUAUGUAUUUUCCCAAAGGUGGUGGAAAUGUCCCCAAAUGGUUUGCUGAUCUCUGCUCUCUCUCUUUGGUUAUUGCCAACUCCUGACUGCAUAUGCCUAGUUCAUAGUCUAGAGAUGAGUGUCACUGAGGACUUCCUGGGGACUACUUCGCAUCUGAAUGGUGACUUGUAAUGAUCAAAGACAGUGGGCCAGACCACUGGUUUAUGUAGUGACUGGUGUUAGUCCACUGAAGACCAAACAGCUGCUCCAAGUUUCCAUCAUCUCCAGUGAAAACAAGUACAACUGCAUCAGCUCGCAGCCAGUUUGCAAUAAACCUGCUCCCUGGACUGUGGGUUAACCUGGCUAAGUGUCUCCUGGGGUCAGGUCUGUUACUCUUGUGUGUGAAAAUAAGUCUUGGUGUGCUUUCUGAUCUACUGGAGUGUAAAUAAAGCAAGAAGGUCUUUCACUUA